RNAcentral lists this ribosomal RNA (322 nucleotides) under uncultured eukaryote. RNAcentral's name for it is "partial 18S ribosomal RNA". It matches the Rfam family "Eukaryotic small subunit ribosomal RNA", at positions 1470 to 1796 of the family's 1831-position model. The record is from RNAcentral.
CCCUUAGAUGCUCUGGGCCGCACGCGUGCUACACUGAGUAAUUCAAUGGGUAAGGGAACGCUAGAGCAUUACCUAAUCUUGAAAUUUGCUCGUGAUGGGGAUCGACGGUUGCAAUUUUCCGUCGUGAACGAGGAAUACCUUGUAGGCGCAUGUCAUCAUCAUGCGCCGAAUACGUCCCUGCCCUUUGUACACACCGCCCGUCGCUCCUACCGAUUGAGUGAUCCGGUGAGGCUCUGGGACCUGGACGGAAAGAGCGUUUCGCUUGUUCUGUUUGGGAAACUUGGUCGAACCUUAUCAUUUAGAGGAAGGAGAAGUCGUAACA